This 170-nucleotide ribosomal RNA is filed under the name Henningsomyces puber. Its description in RNAcentral is "5.8S ribosomal RNA". It matches the Rfam family "5.8S ribosomal RNA". Rfam says of the family: 5.8S ribosomal RNA (5.8S rRNA) is a component of the large subunit of the eukaryotic ribosome. Lineage: Eukaryota; Fungi; Basidiomycota; Agaricomycetes; Agaricales; Schizophyllaceae. The record is from RNAcentral.
UACAACUUUCAGCAACGGAUCUCUUGGCUCUCGUAUCGAUGAAGAACGCAGCGAAAUGCGAUAAGUAAUGUGAAUUGCAGAAUUCAGUGAAUCAUCGAAUCUUUGAACGCACCUUGCACCCUUUGGUAUUCCGAAGGGUAUGCCUGUUUGAGUGUCAUUAAAUUCUCAAC